This 402-nucleotide ribosomal RNA is filed under the name uncultured bacterium. RNAcentral's name for it is "bacterial SSU rRNA". It matches the Rfam family "Bacterial small subunit ribosomal RNA", at positions 362 to 758 of the family's 1533-position model. The record is from RNAcentral.
UAUUGGACAAUGGGCGAAAGCCUGAUCCAGCAAUACCGCGUGUGUGAAGAAGGCCUUAGGGUUGUAAAGCACUUUCAAUUGGGAGGAAAACCUGCCGGUCAAUACCCGGUAGCUUGACAUUACCUUUAGAAGAAGCACCGGCUAACUCCGCGCCAGCAGCCGCGGUAAUACGGAGGGUGCGAGCGUUAAUCGGAAUUACUGGGCGUAAAGCGUGCGUAGGCGGUUCGUUAAGUCAGAUGUGAAAGCCCUGGGCUCAACCUGGGAACGGCAUUUGAAACUGGCGGACUAGAGUUUAGUAGAGGGGAGUGGAAUUUCAGGUGUAGCGGUGAAAUGCGUAGAUAUCUGAAGGAACACCAGUGGCGAAGGCGACUCCCUGGACUAGAACUGACGCUGAGUACGAAA